CGUUACUAAACAUUUCAAUAGUCCUAGGCUAGGAUUUUAUGAACGAAAGGCGUAAUUACGGUUGCCCUGGUAGAGGGUCCAUGGGAAAGCUCAGAAGCUCCUGGGUUUCAACAAUUUAGCAUCAAAUUAUGAAGAAGCCAGACUAAUAAAUAUCUCUCUAUUGGUUUCUCUGAGCAGCACAUGAUACAAGACAAACAAACACUGAAGUAUAAAGUUCGUUCGUUUUAAAUAUUGUAGGCUUUAAUGUGGAAUACAUGAUUGAAUAUGGAAAAUUGACUUUAUUGUACAACAGUGCUAAAUUAAAGCAAUCAUGUCACUGUCUAGUUCCGAUAGGUGGUAUUUGGUACAUGAAUAAAUAUGGUGCUUGAACUUGAUGGCAAAAUGUAGGUCCGAUGAUGUGACUAAGUUACUAACUAAUGGAUAUUGAAACAAUAUGAUACUACCAAAGGCUAUCCAGAUUGGGAAGUAAAAAUGCUAUACCAAUUAUACAUGUUACUAGUAUAAAUGCAUAUUAACGCAAAACCUCAAAUGAACAAAUAUUACUGAUUUGUGG
This 553-nucleotide long non-coding RNA is filed under the name Mytilus galloprovincialis (Mediterranean mussel). Lineage: Eukaryota; Metazoa; Mollusca; Bivalvia; Mytilida; Mytilidae. The record is from RNAcentral.